Molecule: small nuclear RNA, 203 nt
Organism: Dermatophagoides farinae (American house dust mite)
Lineage: Eukaryota; Metazoa; Arthropoda; Arachnida; Sarcoptiformes; Pyroglyphidae
Product: U11 spliceosomal RNA
Source: RefSeq, a predicted model, not a curated record
GAAAAGGGGGUUGACCUUUAUCAUUCGAAUUUUGGGAAACCUGGUUCGAAUAAUAAAACGAUGGUCGGUGUACCUUGGCAAUCAAUUUUGUUGGUUUGCAAUCCAGGUGCAUUUAGAAUCGCCAUCAAGAGAUUCUAAACUCAUAAUUUUUGCAACAAGUGGAGUACCAGCUGCUUCGAAUAUAGAAGAUUAAGCGCUCCACA